RNAcentral lists this transfer RNA (59 nucleotides) under Ancylostoma duodenale. RNAcentral describes it as "tRNA-Asn". Lineage: Eukaryota; Metazoa; Nematoda; Chromadorea; Rhabditida; Ancylostomatidae. The record is from RNAcentral.
UAAGAGUUAGUUUAAGUGUGUUAGAAUUGUUGACUGUUAAUCAAAAGGUUUACUCUUAA